UUAUUGGAGAGUUUGAUCCUGGCUCAGGAUGAACGCUGGCGGCGUGCCUAAUACAUGCAAGUCGAGCG
Molecule: ribosomal RNA, 68 nt
Filed under: Bacillus anthracis (anthrax bacterium)
Lineage: Bacteria; Bacillati; Bacillota; Bacilli; Caryophanales; Bacillaceae
Also listed under: 13 other names
Description: partial 16S ribosomal RNA
Rfam family: Bacterial small subunit ribosomal RNA
Source: RNAcentral